This 187-nucleotide ribosomal RNA is filed under the name uncultured bacterium. RNAcentral describes it as "partial 16S ribosomal RNA". It matches the Rfam family "Bacterial small subunit ribosomal RNA", at positions 1313 to 1500 of the family's 1533-position model. The record is from RNAcentral.
CGCCUGCAUGAAGUCGGAAUUGCUAGUAAUCGCGGAUCAGCAUGCCGCGGUGAAUACGUUCCCGGGCCUUGUACACACCGCCCGUCACACCAUGGGAGCCGGUAAUACCCGAAGUCAGUAGUCCAACCUCGUGAGGACGCUGCCGAAGGUAGGAUUGGCGACUGGGGUGAAGUCGUAACAAGGUAAC